RNAcentral lists this long non-coding RNA (5950 nucleotides) under Gallus gallus (chicken). Its description in RNAcentral is "lncRNA (ENSGALG00010007128.1)". Lineage: Eukaryota; Metazoa; Chordata; Aves; Galliformes; Phasianidae. The record is from RNAcentral.
ACAUUUUGAAGCAGCAGACAUUUUAAGAUGUCAUUCAGCAUUUCCUUGAACGUUUGACUUAUCUUAUUUUGAUCUGCUCCAAGCUUCCAUGUUCUUGCUUUUUCAAGAACUAGCUCCUCUAUUAGCUGAAAUAAAAACUGAGGUGGUGAACAGAAUCAAAAUUGUCUCAGCUAUGAUCUAUGAAAUUCUUGUUUUUGUGCAUAACAGUGACAAGAACCAUGCUGGCCAAAUGCUAGGCAAUCCAACACUGAAAAAAAAAAAUUACAGGUGUUAAGGAGAGUACUAAAUUCAUUGAAAUUUGUUGUGAGUAAAGAUGCAAAAUCUGUCUGCUCUGGAAAAAUGAUUGUUUUUCUAUUUUAUUUCUCUGUGGUAAAAAUCUAGGGGAGUGGCUUACGAGCUGGCAGGAACUUAAAAAAAGAAUAUGCAUGUAAUUCCUUGAAAGUUCAUCAUCCUUAAUGCAUUACCAUGAAAUGACUGAUUUUACGUUACUCAGCAUUUAACAUUGAAACUUCAUUUCCUUGGGUAACCAUUCUAGCUACCACAGUGCCAGGGGCUUAUGUAUCCUACCUGGUACAUAUUAGGUCCAUUUUGAGGAUAUAGGUUUGUUGCAUUUCUAAAGGGCAAAUAGCUUAUAUAAUUAGAUCAUAUCUUAGGAACUGUUGCUUUACUUCUCCCACCUUAAUGUAAAGAAAAGAAGAUAGGAAAACAUUUCUUCAACUAUCAUGUGAAAACAGACUAAUGUUAAUCUAGGAAAUAUUUAGGUACUUUACUCAUGAACGUUUAGCAUAAUUACUCUCCUGACAAAAUGCCAUGUGUGCAUAAUAAUGGCAGUGCUGUUGUGAAAAGCUUUCAGUGGUGAGGAAUAGCUAAAAAGAGGAAUCGAGGAGCCUAUUCCAUUAAAUUCUGUUUAGACAGGGAAAGCCAUACCUAAAGGAAUAUCUGCUAGGAUAUCAACUAUGAAGGAGUAGGGCCUGCAGCAGUAGGAAGGUAUUACAGCAUACUAAUUUAGUACUCUAUCUGCUAAAUUUAUUUUAUUCACUAGUUGCGAACUCAAGGCACAGUGUUUGCACUCAGCACUGCCUUUUCACUGCUUGUUGCCCACGUGUGACUUGAUUUUAACAUAACAACGCUCACAGCUUGGGGAACGAGAGCCUUAUGUUGGCACUUGUCAUUUAAAGUUGAAAGGAGGAAGCAUUUUGCUUAGCUUUUUUUUUUUUUUUUUUUUUUUUCCACUGCAGAUUUUUCAGUUUGCUGCUACACUAUAAGAUAGGACCUGCUGGUUCCUAAAAACAAGUAAAUUCUCCUUGGGGCUAUUAUUAAUAGUAAAUUGAGUAAUUUGGAGCCAGGAAGAAUCAAGGAGUGGUUUGAGUGAGGAAUGCUUUCCACUGGCUGGCAAUGCAUUUUUGGGAGUUCUGCUUUUAAAUUAGCUAAUUCUCUUUCAUUGCUUGCUGUAGGCACCGUUAAGGAAGGAUACCUCAUGCUUUAUGGUUUCUUCUGAAAGGUAUGAGACAUGGUUGAAUUUUUUCAGCUCUCAGAGCAGCCAGUUUCAAUUAAAAAGGAACUGAGAUCUUUGUCAAAAGUUUCAGUUUAGCUGGCCAGGCCAAACAGACAGAACACCACAGAGGUGUGUUUCCUACGAAGUGUGCUCAUCUACGGGCUCAGCUGUGCAGAAGGAAGUGCACCCUGUCCUUCUCUCUUCCCCCAACAUCCUACAUGCUCCCAUUUCUUGUCUUAUGUUGCUCUGCUCAUUGCUUGGCACCUCUGUUAGCUCAGUAGUGUCAGGCAGUAAGGAACAGACCCAACAAGAUGGAUAAUCAUCCAUGGCAGUAGUGAGUAACAUUGGCUUAUAGAGAAGUUCAGUACCUGCCAGAGCCAUUACAAGGGAGGAAUAUGCAUUGUGUGGGCAGGUGAAGAAGGAAGAGGGAGCUGAGUAAGUGGGAGGAAAGAAGGGGACCUCUUCCUCUUAGGAGGAAAGCAUUAUCUUGGUGCAGCUUCCCACAAAGCUUUGCUUUCACUAAGUGAUGUUUUUGUUUUUCUUCUACUUUGCAACAUGUGGUUGUGAAAACAACAUGAGGCACCAAUUUCCAAAUGAGGUUUAACAUGAUCUCAGCCUGUGCUUUUACUUUCCCUGCUUCAUGCAGAGCCAAAUGUUUCUGCUACCUCUUUUAUUUCUGGAUAUGAAAGCCAAAAUCCUACAAAACCCGGAACUGUUUCCUUAGGAUCUUUCCUUGCAUACUUGCUGCAGGAAUUGUGAUGCAGGCAUAUGAGAGAAAAUAGUGUGGGCUGGAGCACUGUACAUCCACCAGUUUAUACUAGUUAGGAAACAGCACCUUAAAGGCUUGAGCAUCUGCCAGUAUUUAAUAUGCACCCUCCUGUGGGCAGCACAAAAUAUAAUAGUUUCCAAAGUUUUAUAAAAAGAGAAAUACAGUUUCUCAUUAUGUUUCAGGUACUUGUUUUUCAUCUGCUUAAAAAAAAAAAAAAAAAAAAAAAUUGGGUUUUCCUUGGCAUUCAGACUUUCCCAAUGAGAUUGAAGAUGAUAUGUUUACUAGUGACAAAGAGAGGAUGUGGUCAUCUAGUUCCAUUCCUAGCAUUUGACUUGUUGUGUUUCAUCAUUUCAUUUUUUGGAAAGGACUCUUAAUUCUUCUGACAUUAUCAUAGGCUGGAAGUAAGUAAGUACUUACUGCUGGCUAUCAAGGGGAAAAUACCUAUGUUAUUAUUCUGUGUUCAAGAAAUGUUUUAGUUGUUGCUCUAGAGGGUAUCUAAAAUUCUGUGAUACAAACUCUGAUAGUACAUGGAAUACUGUCCAUGGUAACAAGAUGCACUUUUAUUUUGAUGUGGAAAUAUACAUCUUCCCUCUUCUCAAUCCUGGGUAGACGGGUGCCUUCCUCUGGCAGACGUGCAGGUUCUCUAUGCAGUGCCUUUGGGAAAAUAUGUUUCCCUGAGAACAGUUCUCAGCACUCUUUCUGAUAGAGAAAACUGAUCCCUUAGCACAGCCUGGUGGCUGUUAGUGAGACAGCAAGCAAAAUAUAAAAUCACACAAUUAUAUGUGAGAGAGGAAGUGAUUGUAUUACUGCUGUAGGUGUGAUGGUCUCACUUUCCUGUAGAGCAAGUUCUAGAUGAGGUGAGAGUGGUUGUGGGAAAAUGGAGAUGCUGUCUGGCACACCAGCCCACUGUAGAUCUGAAAUAAUAACAGUAAAUUCAAGUGUAGUCUGAAGGGGAAAAAUGUUCUGUGCAGAGGUAGCUGCCAGAAAGAGAGGGAAAAUAUAUCUGAGUGGGGAAAGGAAAUGAUUGCAUUCAGAAUGGAGACAAAACCUGUCAUUAAACUCAUGUAUCAGAGUGGAUGAUCUUUAUUAUCUGCUUAUUUAACAUCAGUGAAUUUCAGCUAGCUCUGUAGACCACCCUAAAAGAUCAGGAUUGAAAAGUCACAGGUUUUUUUUUGUCAGAAAUGUUCGUACGGCAAUGUCAAGGACAAUGGUAUGAAGUAUCUGUGCAGCCUAGUAAAACCUAAAGCCAUGGCCAUGAUAUGGCACAUGAAGACAGAUGAAAAUUUGGAGGCAUCUCCACUGUCAUAGCCCUUGAAAAGGACACCAUCUUCCAAUCAUCUACUGGAUUAUUUUUGUUCUUACAGAUCUGCUGCUAAAGUACAGGGUAUGUUUCUAAGCUGUGCAUUUUCUUAACUCCUAUUUUUAUUGCAGGCAGUAAAUUCUUGGCUAACACUUAAGUUAAUAAAUUAUAGCAGUGGUGAAAAUGGCCCAGGUGGUGGUGUGCUUUUCUGUGAGAUUUGAGAAUUUCACUCUACAAAUGCCAGAAAGAGCCAUGAAUAAAAUUCCAUACUGCUGCAAAACACAUAUAUCACCUUUCCAGAUUGAUGUGAUAUUUCAUCAAGAGCAUCAUUUAUUUGCUGGGAAAUUAUUUAUUCUAGUAAACUCGCUGAUGACAAAUUGAAGAAUUGCAGGUGGCUACACCUUAUGUGUUGGUUCCAAAAUAGGUUUCUAAUACAAGAAAAAGGAUGAAUUAUAACGCUGCCGCUGGCUGGAAGAAGCAGGUGAAAGUACUCAAGGCUGAGGCAGCAAGAAAACAUCUGCACUUUGGAGGCACAAAUGUCUUGAAAAUGGGGGCAGAUAUCCCCCAUAUUAAACAAAGGAAGGGAAAUGGGGGAUUCAGAAGAGUGAAGAAGAUAGAGUUUGUGUGGCAGCACUAAUCAUACAAAAAUUUGAGCAUGAAAUAACCCCUGGGAACAAAGUCCAGGUAUAGAAAUGUAUCAGGUACCUCAUGUUGUCUGGUUUUGGUGAUAGUUUUAAAGUUAAGAUGAGAAAGUUUGAGUUAAUACUGGAUAUAUGAGAGGUUGCGGAUGUCAGAGAGCACUGCAUCAUGCACCUAUCUUUGCUUUGCUUCUAGCAAAACUUGGUGUCUACUAAGAAGGUACUCAUGAUUGAAUACAGGAUCACAACAUGUCGGGAUUCAGGAGAAAUAUAAUUUAGGAUCUCUAUUAUAGAUCCUCCAGGAACAAAUGGGAUCAAUUCCGGGUAGGAGGUUCAGGGUAGACUGAAAUUUGUCUCUACGGUUGGUUUUGGUUUGACAUAAUGAGAACUAAAGGUGCAGAUUGUUAUCUGUAUCUUUAUCUGUAUUAUUAUCCUCUUAAUGUCCUUCUUAUCCUUGAACUGUAUUAUUAUCCUAUGACAAAGCUUAGAGCGUUUUGAAUGUACAUUUGAGAUACCAAACCUGUUUUCCAUUCACAGAUAAUAUGAUUUUGAUUAAAUCACUCCUAUCCAGUGAUUCAACCCCAUGUGUAGUAUGAUGUGCUGUUAGUAAGAAGCAUCAGAAGAAAGAUUUCCUCCCAGUUCCUCCCAGGAAUAAAAAGGUCUUGGUGGAUCAACAUAUGUCGGGUGUCUGAUGACUAGGACAGUCAAACUCUCAUGCUCUGAAAGAGGUACAAAUUAAGAAAUGGAGAAUGAUGGAAUCAACUUGUGAUGGAUCAGAAUUGCAUGUAUUAACAUGAAUUUCUUGUUAAUGGAGAAGACAAGCAUUAUCCAUAAAUGAAUUCUGAACAGGAGGCCUUCUAUUGCUGACACUAAUAACUAUAAUCUCCCUCUGUUUUGAUGGCCUCUGGAAUAAUACAGUUCAUUACAGAGCAACGCAAGACUAAUUUUUUUUAAGUACUUGAUAUAGCAUUUACAUUGUCUUUUAAUAUUGCCAUCAUUAUCUCUGUCAUUUGAAAUUCAGAUGUGGGAAGGCUUUUUUUUUUACUCCUAAACAAGCUAUGCUGUGGAGAUGGCAUAGACACUCUGUGCUCAAUGUAUAAUGUACCUUUAGGAGAAUUAGCAGCAUAAUUACGCAUUCACAGACACACUGUCUGUGUUUCUGUCUAGUAUGUGCGCUGUGGUAGUUUUAAAUUUGAAUGUGAAUAGCUAUCAGAGGUGUUUUUUAUUAAAAUAUAUAUCUUCUUAAUAUUUAAUUUCCUCAGGAUAGUUUUAAAAUAGAUUGAAGAGUUUGUUUCAACUUCAUGUUUAAACUCCUGUUUGAAUGGUCCUUGAAUUCAUCUGUGUGUGUAUUAAUGCACAUAGAUACCAAGUCAUGGAUUUGGGAAUAAAAAAAUAUGCUAAAGGAAGGUAACUGUGACACCUUCAUAGGUAACAGCAAACAAUUAAGUGAGAGGAGCUACUGGUAUUAUGCUGGUAAAGUAAAUAAAGCUCUUGGAGAAUAUGACACUUGGGUGAACAUUGCCCCCUUAAAUAUGUGUUUUUCGGGAAGGACAGUGGUCAGUAUAUGAAUACAUUAGUGAAAUGACACAUGUGUUUGGAACUUUGGGUCUAGUUCUGUACACCAACACUGAGAAUAUGGCUAGUUUGCAGUAAGUAAUGCACCAUGAGUAGAAAUGUGGAAACUGUGCCUUGUAUGGAGGUUACUGAGAAAUUCAAAAUGUCUCAUAUAAUUUCUUCAGAGAAUUAGG